AGGGAUGUGGCUCAGUGGUAGAGUGCUGUCUUGGCACGCAUAAGGCCCUGAGUUCAAUUCCCAGCAUUGCAA
Molecule: transfer RNA, 72 nt
Filed under: Ictidomys tridecemlineatus (thirteen-lined ground squirrel)
Lineage: Eukaryota; Metazoa; Chordata; Mammalia; Rodentia; Sciuridae
Description: Spermophilus tridecemlineatus (thirteen-lined ground squirrel) tRNA
Rfam family: tRNA
About the family: Transfer RNA (tRNA) molecules are approximately 80 nucleotides in length. Their secondary structure includes four short double-helical elements and three loops (D, anti-codon, and T loops).
Source: Rfam by way of RNAcentral